Molecule: non-coding RNA, 87 nt
Organism: Gossypium raimondii (Peruvian cotton)
Lineage: Eukaryota; Viridiplantae; Streptophyta; Magnoliopsida; Malvales; Malvaceae
Source: Rfam
CACGUCAGCGUACUUUGCUGACGUGGCAACAAAUCGCUCCCUCGAUGACGCAAUUUGUUGUCACGUUAGCAAAGCGCGUUGACGUGG